Molecule: ribosomal RNA, 375 nt
Filed under: uncultured bacterium
Lineage: Bacteria
Description: bacterial SSU rRNA
Rfam family: Bacterial small subunit ribosomal RNA
Source: RNAcentral
AUACGUAGGUGGCAAGCGUUAUCCGGAUUUACUGGGUGUAAAGGGCGUGUAGGCGGGACUGCAAGUCAGAUGUGAAAACUAUGGGCUCAACUCAUGGCCUGCAUUUGAAACUGUGGUUCUUGAGUGUUGGAGAGGCAGGCGGGAUUCCGUGUGUAGCGGUGAAAUGCGUAGAUAUACGGAGGAACACCAGUGGCGAAGGCGGCCUGCUGGACAAUAACUGACGCUGAGGCGCGAAAGCGUGGGGAGCAAACAGGAUUAGAUACCCUGGUAGUCCACGCUGUAAACGAUGGAUACUAGGUGUGGGGGGACUGACCCCCUCCGUGCCGCAGUUAACACAAUAAGUAUCCCACCUGGGGAGUACGAUCGCAAGGUUGA